This 904-nucleotide ribosomal RNA is filed under the name Parawardomyces ovalis. Its description in RNAcentral is "LSU rRNA". It matches the Rfam family "Eukaryotic large subunit ribosomal RNA", at positions 38 to 966 of the family's 3401-position model. Lineage: Eukaryota; Fungi; Ascomycota; Sordariomycetes; Microascales; Microascaceae. The record is from RNAcentral.
GCAUAUCAAUAAGCGGAGGAAAAGAAACCAACAGGGAUUACCUCAGUAACGGCGAGUGAAGCGGUAACAGCUCAAAUUUGAAAUCUGGUCCCCUCUGGGGGCCCGAGUUGUAAUUUGAAGAGGAUGCUUUUGGCGAGGCGCCUUCCGAGUGCCCUGGAACGGGACGCCACAGAGGGUGAGAGCCCCGUAUGGUAGGACGCCGAGCCUCUGUAAAGCUCCUUCGACGAGUCGAGUAGUUUGGGAAUGCUGCUCAAAAUGGGAGGUAAACCCCUUCUAAAGCUAAAUAUUGGCCAGAGACCGAUAGCGCACAAGUAGAGUGAUCGAAAGAUGAAAAGCACUUUGAAAAGAGAGUUAAACAGCACGUGAAAUUGUUGAAAGGGAAGCGCUUGCGACCAGACUUGCGCCCGUCGGAUCAACCGUCCCUCGUGGGCGGCGCACUCCGGCGGGCUCAGGCCAGCAUCAGUUUUCCUGGGGGGAGAAAGGCGGCGGGAAUGUGGCUCUUCGGAGUGUUAUAGCCCGCCGUGUAAUGCCCCCGGGGGGACUGAGGACCGCGCGAAAGCAAGGAUGCUGGCGUAAUGGUCGUCAGCGACCCGUCUUGAAACACGGACCAAGGAGUCGUCCUAAUAUGCGAGUGUACGGGUGUAAAACCCCUGCGCGUAAUGAAAGUGAACGGAGGUGAGAGCUUCGGCGCAUCAUCGACCGAUCCUGAUGUUCUCGGAUGGAUUUGAGUAAGAGCAUAUUGGGCCGGACCCGAAAGAAGGUGAACUAUGCCUGUAUAGGGUGAAGCCAGAGGAAACUCUGGUGGAGGCUCGCAGCGGUUCUGACGUGCAAAUCGAUCGUCAAAUAUGGGCAUGGGGGGCGAAAGACUAAUCGAACCUUCUAGUAGCUGGGUUUCCCGCCGAAG